CGAACUUGGGAGAUUUUCACUUAUAUAUAAACAUCAAUAUAUAUCAUCUAUUGGAGAGAUUCACAUACAUAUCAUAAAAUGUCUUGAUAACAUUAACAAAAACAGAGGGAUCGAUCAAACCCAAAACAUACAGACACGAGCACUAAGGUGAGAUCUGACAAAAGUAAAAGAAAAGCUUUGCGCUUGAUAUUGUCUUAAUACAAACAAGAAUGGAAGUUAUUUUCAGCACAUUCUUCGAUUUUUUCUGAAAAAACGAAAGCAGCUCAACAUAACCCAUUGAAACAUUUCAUGAAAUACCUGGCAGGCAAUACUUUGUAGCAAUGCCUUUGUGUUUAUAUUCUGGUUUGAGGGGACGACUGAGGAAGAAAUGUCUUGGUUAGAGUCGAAAUGGGUUUCACCUGAAGGAGAAGAAGAGUCGUUACAUAUUAAGAGAUCUUUGGAUCUUCUUUAAUUCUUUGGCAACUUCCACCAUCGUUGGAACUUCUUCACUAGGACCGAUGCAUCUCAGUGAGAGCAUUCGGAAAGCUUCCAUUUGACAAAGCUCUUGUUCUGAAAUUUGACCCAUCUUUUCUAUCAUCUUUGGAUCUGCAAUCUCUUGGAUUCGUCCGUCUUCCUUUAAUUUUGACGGCAAAAAUUUCUCAUAAUACUUCGAAAUGCGUUGGUAUCCUAAUAGAAGCCUUAGACCCAUAAACAUUCCAAAGGUAAAGACAUGCCUUAUUUAGAUACGGUUUUUAUAAGGUUCCUCCUUCGAAUGAAAUUUAAUGGGAUCCGCAGAGACCAUGUCUUCAUCCAUAGGAUUCCAAGUACCCGGAUCAAUCGAAAGCUCGAUUCUCUCUGAACUACUCAUUUUCAAAUAAUAUCCACAUUGUUCACAAACAUUCAUUUUGACUUUCUUAUACAUUAAUCCAUAACAAUUGUCGCAUUGAAUCCACAAUUGAUUGUAGUUUUGAGUUAUAUCAAAAUCCUUAGAACUUAUUAAAUUACUACGAUUCCUAUUAGUUCUUAUCUUGUAAUUUUUGCUUUCACGAAUCUUUCCACUUUCACUACAAAUGAAAUUAUAAAUGUAACUUUCAUUGGAAUUAUUACUAUCGCUUAAAAAGUUACUAUCAAUACAGAUGUAAGAACGAAAAUAAGAAUCAAUGCAACUAUUAAUGUGAUUAGUACAAUUAUAUUUAGUAUCCUUAAUGUAAGGAUCAUAGUGCAAAUCGUUGUCACCUUUAGAUCUAUUAUUCAGAUAACUAGAACUACAAUAACUAUAAAAAAAAAUUUCUAGGUCACUAAAAUCAUUGUCAAUCUCAAAAUUUUUUUUUUUUUAUCAAAAUAUAUAGAAUAACUAUUAUUAUUACUAUCCCUAACAAAAAAGGUAUCAUCCGAUAUGAAAUUGCGAAUGUCCUUGGAGCUAACUAAAAGAUCAACAUUAUUGGAAUAACUAGAACGCUCACCCCAACCAUAAAAGUUUUUAUCCAUAUCAUAUAUAAAAUGGUCUUGACUUAUAGUAGUCUUUUCACCAGGAGCAAAACUAUCCAUUGCUUUACUUAGCUCGCCUCUGUAUUCCAAUUCUCCCUUAGAAAACAUAAAAUUGAACCACGAUUUUUCCAUAGAGCUUCUGGCCUCUAUUUAAAUGAAAAUACAAUAACAAUAGAUGAAUAGUCAUUCAAUGAAAAAAUUGAAAAAUGCAAAAAAAUUUUGAAUAGUUCAUUUUCUAUUCAGAGUAAGCAAAACAUAUCGAUGCAAUUGCUAAGAUUAUUAAGUAAAAGUAAAGUAAUUGAAAUUAAUAAAUUUCAAUUCUAAAAGAAAAUAAGGAUUUUCUUAUAUUGUGUAAAAUUCUCAUAAAAAAAAAAAGAAAUAUUUGUUCUUCGCUUAUGAAUAUAAGGAUAUGAAGAACUUUUUUAGUAAAAUCUCGUAUACUAAUAUAAAAUAUAAAAUAAAAAAACUUUUUUUAUUCCAAUACGGAAUGAAAAGAAAAGGACAACAUGCAGGAUGGGGUAGAAGAAGCGGGGAUACUUGGUUCAAGCCCUGACACGAAAGACUAUAACACUCCUAAGAAUCCAUGUUUCGUAUAGGAUUUCUUGUGAACACUACAAUAACAAAAUUGUAGUUGUGUUUAAUCUUCUUUUUUUUAUUGAAGAGUUUUUUUAUAUCUAGAUUUAAGUAUGUAUCUAUAAAAAAAAAUAGUAUAUACAACAGAUAAACUCGGCUCAAUCUUUUUAGUAAAAAAAAAGAUUGAGCCGAGUGCAAUUAAACUAAUAAAACAAACGUGAAUUACUAAUCUAAUUUAUCUACUCUUGGCCAUCUAAUUUAUCGACGGUUGGGAAGUUAAAUCUGAUCUCUUUCCAUACUUCACAAGCAGCAGCUAGUUCAGGACUCCACUUGCAAGCUUCACGGAUAAUUUCAUUACCCUCGACUGCAAGAUCACGUCCCUCAUUACGAGCUUGUACACAUGCUUCCAGAGCUACUCGGUUAGCUACGGCACCCGGUGCAUUUCCCCAAGGGUGGCCUAAAGUUCCUCCACCGAAUUGUAGUACAGAAUCAUCUCCAAAGAUCUCGGUCAAAGCAGGCAUAUGCCAAACGUGAAUACCCCCUGAAGCCACAGGCAGAACACCUGGUAGUGAGACCCAAUCUUGAGUGAAAAAGAUACCGCGGCUUCGAUCUUUUUCAACAUAAUCAUCGCGCAGUAAAUCAACAAAGCCCAAAGUUGACUCCCUGUCUCCUUCAAGUUUACCUACUACUGUACCCGCGUGAACAUGAUCUCCACCAGAUAGACGUAAAGCUUUAGUUAGUACACGGAAGUGCAUACCAUGAUUCUUCUGUCUAUCAAUAACAGCGUGCAUUGCACGGUGGAUGUGAAGAAGUAGGCCAUUAUCUCGGCAAUAAUGAGCCAAACUAGUAUUUGCGGUGAAUCCCCCUGUUAAGUAGUCAUGCAUUACGAUAGGAACUCCCAAUUCUCUGGCAAAUACAGCUCUUUUGAUCAUUUCUUCGCAUGUACCCGCAGUAGCAUUCAAAUAAUGCCCUUUGAUUUCACCUGUUUCAGCCUGUGAUUUAUAAAUAGCUUCGGCACAAAAUAAGAAACGGUCUCUCCAACGCAUAAAUGGUUGGGAGUUCACAUUCUCAUCAUCUUUGGUAAAAUCAAGUCCACCACGUAGACAUUCAUAAACUGCUCUACCAUAGUUCUUCGCGGAUAACCCCAAUUUUGGUUUAAUAGUACAUCCUAAUAGGGGACGUCCAUACUUGUUCAAUUUAUCUCUUUCAACUUGGAUACCAUGAGGUGGUCCUUGGAAAGUUUUAGUAUAAGCAGGAGGGAUUCGCAGAUCCUCUAGACGUAGAGCAGCCAGGGCUUUGAACCCAAAUACAUUACCCACAAUCGAGGUAAACAUGUUAGUAACCAAACCUUCUUCAAAAAGGUCUAAGGGGUAAGCUACAUACGCAAUAAAUUGAGUUUCUUCUCCUGGAACGGGCUCGAAGUGGUAGCAUCGUCCUUUGUAACGAUCAAGGCUGGUAAGCCCAUCGGUCCAUACAGUUGUCCAUGUACCAGUAGAAGAUUCAGCAGCUACCGCAGCCCCUGCUUCUUCAGGUGGAACUCCAGGUUGAGGAGUUACUUGGAAUGCUGCCAAGAUAUCAGUAUCCUUGGUUUCAUAUUCAGGAGUAUAAUAAGUCAAUUUAUACUCUUUAACACCAGCUUUGAAUCCAACACUUGCUUUAGUCUCUGUUUGUGGUGACAUAAGUCCCUCCCUACAAGUCAUGAAUUUAGAAUUCUUGCAAUAAAACAAAACAACAAGGUCUACUCGACAUAAAUUAGGAAUAGAUUUAAUUAACCUUUUUCACAGGAAUCUUUCACAAAAUUAUCAACUAAUCAGAAUGAUUCUUUAUUAGACCAUGAUAUUUGAUUCGCCAAAUACAUCAUUAUUGUAUAUUCUUUCAUAUGUAUAGCGCAACCUAAUACUUCUUUUUCAAGUUUUGAAUCUUUGACUUUUUAUAAAUCCAAAUAUUUAAUAUUAAAAUAUUAAUAAAAUCACUCUUGACAGUAAUAUAUGUUGUAUAUGUAAAUCCUAGAUAUGACAAUAUGCGGAAUUCAUCCAUGAAAAUGAAAAACAAGAGGGUGGGGGGGGAGGGGGGUUGCUAAAGGGAUGAAUAAAUGGGACGCAUAACCGGAUAUGCUAAAAUGAAAAUAUGAAAAAAAAGGCUAAUGAGAUCGAAAUAAUGAAUCAUAACUAAAGUUCCGUUUAGAAUUCGCUAGAUAAAAGAUAAAACAAAGGCUUGCCUAUUCUAUUAUGAUAAAUAAAUCAAAGACUUUCCGCAAAAAAAUUUUUUAUUCAUAUAUUUUUUAUUUUAAAACUAGGUUUCAGUUAGUUGAGCUUGAAAAUGACUAUUCCUUCAUUGAAUAAGUAAAAAAUUGAAUUCCACAUCCGCUUGGGUGGUACCAACGAAAUCGAGCGCUUACUCCCAUUUUUUAUUGAAUUAACCGAUGAAUUUGCUAUCGAAGAUUUUUUCUUUAUUCGAAAAAUUUCGCAACAAAAUUUAACAUAUUUUUUUUAUUAUGAGAACAAAUCCUACUACUUCGGAUCCAGAGGUUUCGAUACGUGAAAAAAAAAACCUGGGACGUAUCGCUCAAAUCAUUGGUCCGGUACUGGAUGUAGCCUUUCCCCCGGGCAAAAUGCCUAAUAUUUACAAUGCUCUGGUGGUUAAGGGUCGAGAUACUCUUGGUCAAGAAAUUAAUGUGACUUGUGAAGUACAGCAAUUAUUAGGAAAUAAUCGAGUUAGAGAUGUAGCUAUGAGUGCGACAGAGGGUUUAAAGAGAGGAAUGGACGUGGUUGAUAUGGGAAAUCCUCUAAGUGUUCCAGUCGGCGGAGCGACUCUAGGACGAAUUUUCAACGUGCUUGGGGAACCCGUUGAUAAUUUAGGUCCUGUCGAUACUCGCACAACAUCUCCUAUCCAUAAAUCCGCGCCUGCUUUUAUACAAUUAGAUACAAAAUUAUCAAUUUUUGAAACAGGAAUUAAAGUAGUAGAUCUUUUGGCCCCUUAUCGUCGUGGGGGAAAAAUUGGACUAUUCGGUGGGGCUGGCGUGGGUAAAACAGUACUAAUUAUGGAAUUGAUCAACAACAUUGCUAAAGCUCAUGGUGGUGUAUCCGUAUUUGGUGGAGUAGGCGAACGGACUCGUGAAGGAAAUGAUCUUUACAUGGAAAUGAAAGAAUCUGGAGUCAUUAAUGAACAAAAUCUUGCGGAAUCCAAAGUGGCCCUAGUCUAUGGUCAGAUGAAUGAACCACCAGGAGCUCGUAUGAGAGUUGGUCUGACUGCCUUAACUAUGGCAGAAUAUUUCCGAGAUGUUAAUGAGCAAGACGUACUUCUAUUUAUCGACAAUAUCUUCCGUUUCGUACAAGCAGGAUCCGAGGUAUCCGCCUUAUUGGGUAGAAUGCCUUCUGCUGUGGGUUAUCAACCCACCCUUAGUACCGAAAUGGGUACUUUACAAGAAAGAAUUACUUCUACAAAAAAGGGGUCCAUAACCUCUAUUCAAGCAGUUUAUGUACCUGCAGAUGAUUUGACUGACCCCGCUCCUGCCACCACAUUUGCACAUUUAGAUGCGACUACCGUACUAUCAAGAGGAUUAGCUGCCAAAGGUAUCUAUCCAGCGGUAGAUCCUUUAGAUUCAACGUCAACUAUGCUACAACCUCGAAUCGUUGGCGAGGAACAUUAUGAAACUGCGCAACAAGUAAAGCAAACUUUACAACGUUACAAGGAGCUUCAGGACAUUAUAGCUAUCCUGGGGUUGGACGAAUUAUCCGAAGAGGAUCGCUUAACCGUAGCAAGAGCACGAAAAAUUGAGCGUUUCUUAUCACAACCCUUUUUCGUAGCAGAAGUAUUUACAGGUUCUCCGGGAAAAUAUGUUGGUCUAGCGGAAACAAUUAGAGGGUUUAAAUUGAUCCUUUCCGGAGAAUUUGAUUCUCUUCCUGAACAGGCCUUUUACUUAGUGGGUAACAUCGACGAAGCUACUGUGAAGGCUACAAACUUAGAAAUGGAGAGUAAAUUGAAGAAAUGACCUUAAAUCUUUGUGUACUGACUCCGAAUCGAAUUGUUUGGGAUUCAGAAGUAAAAGAAAUCAUUUUAUCUACUAAUAGUGGACAAAUUGGUGUAUUACCGAACCACGCGCUGAUUGCCACAGCUGUUGAUAUAGGUAUUUUGAAAAUACGCCUUACUAACCAAUGGUUAACGAUGGCUCUGAUGGGCGGUUUUGCUAGAAUAGGCAAUAAUGAAAUAACUAUUUUAGUAAAUGAUGCAGAGAAGAAUAGUGACAUUGAUCCACAAGAAGCUCAGCAAACUCUUGAAAUAGCAGAAGCUAACUUGAGAAAAGCUGAAGGUAAGAGACAGACAAUUGAGGCUAAUCUAGCUCUCAGACGAGCUCGGACACGAGUCGAGGCUCUCAAUACGAUUUGAUUUUGUAACUAGCUGACGUGUAAAAAAAAAAAAGAAUGUAUAAAAAAAAUAGGAUCGAAAAGCGAGAAAAACAAUAAAAUAAAAAAAGCUGGUUACAAAAACUUAUUAGACACCAUUGAUCAUGGUGUCUAAUAAGUUAUACCUACUAUUGGAUUUGAACCAAUGACUCCUGCCGUAUGAAAGCAAUACUCUAACCACUGAGUUAAGUAGGUUAUUUAUCAUCGUAAAGAGAAGGAAAGGGGAUACCUAUCACAUCGAUAGGAUUAUAAAUCCAAUAUUAUUUCUAAGCAAUACCAAUAAACAACGAGAUCAAAGAGAUAUAAUGUUCAAUCAUGUAAUAUUAAUCUUGACAAGAAAUUAUCUACAUGAUAAGAUAAAAUGUGUAUCACAAACACAAGGUCUAUAGCUCAGUUAGGUAGAGCACCUCGUUUACACGUGCGCCAAAGUUUUUCAGAGGAGUCCAUCACGCAAUCAAACUAAUUGAUUGAUCUUAUUAAGAAAUCGAUGUCUUACUCCAUGACUUUUUUUUAGGAAAAAAGAGGAGAACAACAGCCUGACAUUAGGUCCUAUUAAAGUACCCCGUUAGGUAGGGAAUGAAUAGAACCCAUCAUUGAUUUGAGAUAUUGAUAGGGUGAAUACCCAGUCUACUCAAUGCUAGGUAGAAUGAGUAUAAGGAACUCAAAAAUAAUCUUUUCGUCCUAUGAACCUUAAGGUGUAUCAAGUUUCAUGUUUGAUUUUUUAAUCAGGAUGUUAGAGACUAUAUUUAACUUAAGUUGAUCUAGACCAAAAGCAAACCUACGUCAAGAGAACCCUUUUUUGAAACACUUUGGUAGUUCUUCUGUAUUGUAUUAGAAUUUAAAAAUAAUCAAUCAGAGUACUUGGAACCAUUUCUUAUCUUUUUUUUAAGAAAAAAUAUGGUAGACUAACUGAUCCAAAGAUCAGUUAAUGAAAGAGCCCAAUGCAAAAAAAAAUGCAUGUUGGGUCUUUGAAAGAGUUCGAAUCAUUUUGAUAAUAAUAAGUUCGAACUCUUUUACCGAGCAGGUCUACGGUUCGAGUCCGUAUAGCCCUAACUAAGAAAUUCAUUCUAAUAAAUCACAUUAAAAUCAAAAUAAUUGGAUAAUUUUUUUUACUUUUAUUGUAUUCUUUAUUUAUAACAGGUUACUUUUAAUUGCUCGGUUCAUAAAAAAAAUUUCCAUACCAAAAACCAUAAGUCCUGGGGAUCGUUCAGAAUAAAACGGAAAAUUAAAUUUUAUUUCAAUGGAGCCAACCACUAUCUAUCGAUAUAUCUAGAUAGAUACUUUUUUCUAAUUUUUUUAAUUUAGAAUCAACUUUUUUCUUCAUUAAUUUUCAUAGUUGUAAUUUUUUUAUAUGAAUUUUCCUCGUUCACUAGCUACAAUCAAAAAGUUCCUAAGACUUUCUUUUUUUGUAUCCCCACCCAAUCUUGGUUACUUUUUUUAUGACACGGCCUUGUUUAAAAAUAAAAACAGAAAUCUAAUUAAAUUCAACCAAAAUUAAAUCUAUCUAAUACUAAGUAAGAUGAGUAUGGUAAAGUCUUACUGGAUUUUUUGAUACGUCAUCAUUUUAAAAACGAAGAGAUUUUUCGAAAAUGUUUUUUUAAACAUAAACAGAAAUAAAAAAAAAUUACUAGUUAUUAAUCAGAUUAAUAUUAUAUUAUUAAUAUUAGAAACUAUAGUAAUAGAAACAUGGAACUAUUAAGUAAUAAGUGUACUGAAAAUACGAAAUUAAUAAAUCUUAAAAUGAGACGUCUACCACAGCAACCAAACGAAAAUAAAUGAUUCGAUUAACCUGAAUUUUUUUUUGACUCAAGAGUUCUAUAUCCCUUGCCCAAUCCACUCCGAUUGGAAUUGACUAAGCGGGUAUUUUUUCCACAUUCAUAGGAGUUCGUCUAUGUUUCUGCUUUACGAAUAUGAUAUUUUCUGGGCAUUUUUACUAAUAUCAAGUGCUAUUCCUGUUUUGGCAUUUCUAAUUUCCGGAGUUUUAUCUCCAAUUAGGAAGGGGCCGGAGAAACUUUCUAGUUAUGAAUCAGGUAUAGAACCGAUCGGGGAUGCUUGGUUACAAUUUAGAAUCCGUUAUUAUAUGUUUGCUCUAGUUUUUGUUGUUUUUGAUGUUGAAACUGUUUUUCUGUAUCCGUGGGCAAUGAGUUUCGAUGUACUGGGGGCAUCUGCUUUUAUAGAAGCUUUCAUUUUCGUGCUUAUCCUAAUUCUUGGUUUAGUUUAUGCAUGGCGAAAAGGAGCAUUGGAGUGGUCUUAGUUCGUUUCCCGAAUACUUGUACAAUAAAAAAAAAAAAGUAAAAAAAACCAUUGAAACAAUUAUGAAUUCCAUUAAGUUUCCCGUACUUGAUCGAACAACAAAAAAAUCCGUUAUUUCAACUACGUUAAAUGAUCUUUCAAAUUGGUCAAGACUUUCCAGCCUAUGGCCGCUUCUUUAUGGUACCAGUUGUUGUUUCAUUGAAUUUGCCUCAUUAAUAGGCUCCCGAUUUGACUUUGAUCGUUAUGGGUUAGUACCAAGAUCGAGUCCUAGACAGGCGGACCUUAUUUUAACAGCAGGUACAGUAACAAUGAAAAUGGCUCCUUCUUUAGUGCGAUUAUAUGAACAAAUGCCUGAACCAAAGUAUGUUAUUGCUAUGGGAGCGUGUACAAUUACGGGGGGGAUGUUCAGUACCGAUUCUUAUAGUACUGUUCGAGGAGUUGAUAAGCUAAUUCCUGUAGAUGUCUAUUUGCCGGGUUGUCCACCUAAACCAGAGGCUGUUAUAGACGCUAUAACAAAGCUUCGUAAGAAAAUAGCUAGAGAAAUCUAUAAGGAUCGAAUUAGACCUCAACAGGGUAAUCGGUGUUUUACUACCAAUCACAAGUUUUUUGUUGUACGCAGUCCGCAUAUUGGAAAUUAUGAUCAAGAAUUACUCUAUCCACCAUCAUCUACUUCAGAGAUCUCUACUGAAAAAUUUUUUAAAUACAAAAGUCCAGUAUCGUCCCACGAAUUAGUGAAUUAGGGAGGCUUUUAGAGAAUAAGAAAAAAAUCUUCAUAAAUUAGAACUCAUGGUAAAUGUGAAAAACUUAAUUUUAUAUAAAAAAGGUGUGGGGGAAAUAAAAAAGAUGCAGGGCACUUUGUCCGUUUGGCUAGUCUUUACCUUUGGAAUGUUUAUGGGUCUAAGGCUUCUAUUAGGAUACCAACGCAUUUCGAAGUAUUAUGAGAAAUUUUUGCCGUCAAAAUUAAAGGAAGACGGACGAAUCCAAGAGAUUGCAGAUCCAAAUAUUAAAAUACUAGCACCAGAUAUGUCUAGCCUUUUUGUCACAUACACGACAAUUAUCGUAUGAAAACAGUACUCUUAAGGGUAGCCACUCCUCCACUUACAUAAUCUUGUUUAGACAAUUUCAACUUUCAAUUGUGGUUUUAGAGUCCUUGGUGCAGAAAGUAGAACAUGCCUUGGUACAGUUUUCAGCUGCUCCAUUCAAAGUUUCACUUUCAUCUAGUUAUCGAAACAAAAUUUGAAUGGAUUAGUAUUCUCUUGUUCCAGUUAUAAUAACAAUACUAUAAUGGUUCUUGGUACAUAAUCUUUUACUUAACAAAAUAAUAAUAAUAUAUGAGUUUGGAGAAUUUGCUUUACCGGAGUUCUCUAGAGUGGUUAGGACGCAACACACAGAGUAUGCACACCCCAACUUGCAAUAUUCACUAACCGUAUCAUGCACCUUGAGUCAAAAAUCAAAAUACAUGUAACUUGCAUCAAAAAACAGAAUCUUGAUCAAUGUUGUAACAAAUAACAUAAUAAAGCAUAAUAUAAUAUAAUGUAAUAAAAAAAAAAUACUUUUGUCUUUGUGAAUGACAUGAUAAUAUCCCACAGACUACAAGAAGAAUGCACAUUCUUAGCUCACGAGAAGCACUACUAUACGUAAUCAAUAGUGUUUUUUUAAACGCUAUUUCUGCCCCAUCUAUGAUAGGAUCACCGUGUAUAAUAGCUUUUUUUGGUAAGCUAUUAUAUCGUUUUCGAUAAUAGCAUUAAACAAAUGAUGCAAUAUAUAUUCUUAUUCACAAUUUUAUUGUUGUUUUAUAUUGUGUCGUAGCACUUUGUAUUUGCCUUAUUAGAUUUACCUAUAACUCUUUUUUAUGAUAUAAUCUAUUGUUAUAUGCUAUUCUAUUUCAUAUAUUUGUACCCUCUUUUGCAUUAUAUAUUAAAUUGGAUUUAUAUAAAUUUUCUAUUGCAUUAAUUAUAUAUCCAAAACAUACAUACCAAAUCUUAGACUACAUCAAACCAAGUCUUAUAUAAACUAACACUACUAGCUAACACCAAAACAAGUUGAUGAGAGGUGGUAUCCAUAAUGAAGUCUCUUUGAAUCUCAUGUAAAAAUCUAUUUGAAACCUGAGUUUCAUCCUUCCUCGGAUCAACUCCUCUUCAGAUCCAGUUGCAACUCUCUGAAACAAUUAAAAAAAAAACAGAACAUGUCAACUAAGUAAGACUGCAUGGAGUGUAUACAAAACGUUGUAUUUCAUGAGUGUAAUGAAGUUAAUAUCAAAUCAAUUGUAAUCAGACUCUAGAAACAAACGACACAAAUAAGCAAAACGAAAACCCAUUCCAAUUCCAAACACACAAACCACACUCCAACAGACAUAUCCACAAAAAAAAACCGUUAGACCUAUUACCUCAUUGAUAACAAACUUGAUCAUCGACAGCCAUUUCACUGUUUCAGUGAUACUAUUAAUUUACCUUUCACACCAAAGAAAAAGCUUGCAACUUUAUAUAGAAAACAUGAGUUAAUAAUUGUACAUGGAGACCAACUGAUUUUAUGGAGAGAAACCAAACGCAGAAACCCCACCAAAGAUAAACCAGACAUCUUCACUACACUUCUACAAGUUAGUGACCUGGAAGGUAGAGUCUUAAGCACCUGGAAGUUUCAACAGCAACACCACAAAACCAAAAUCAACACAAACAAUUUCAAAACUCUAUUUUUUAUUCACAACAAAUCUCCAUUCUAUUUAGAGCUUAUUGAGGUUUCAAAAUCUGAACCUUAGAAGUAAAUUUUCGAUUUAGUAAACAUAACCAAGUAAAAAACAAUGACUUAAUGCAGCUUUGUCAAUUAAUUAAACUACUGAAUAUUCUUAAAUCUAGUAAUACUAAUAGCAAAUGAGAUAUGUAUAUCUAAUAGAAAUCAGCUUACAGAAAGCCAAACAAUGCUAAGAAACAAGCCAAGCCAAUAAUGAGGGAAUUCGUUGAACGCCUGGAGGGCAUGAAAAGCAUCAUCAGUUUACACAACAUAAACCACUCCACUCCGUCCAAACACUUCUAAGAAACCAGGGCUGGACUCACAAUUUCUAUCCCAAGGAGAAACCAAAACAUUUUGAUGCAAAUUAAAUGGCUAACAUGUUAAGAAAAUCCUAUGUUUUCUUGUAGUGACACUAGAUAAGAUAGUGUCCGAGUGUAAGGGCUGAGAAGGUUGUAGCUUAGCAAUAAAGAAUAAGAAAAUAAAUUCGUAUCAAAGCCAUAGAUGAGGAGAUAAAAAAAAAGGCACCUGAUAAUAGUCUCCAUCAGACGAUACGAGGAGAACAACACUAUUGAUAAUUUUGUCGUAUUAAUUUGAUCGAGCUCAUGUUAUAAUCUUCGUUGUCAAACUCAUUUCAUUAACUUAAACAUCCAGAUUACAAAAGUAGAUGAGAAUCUUCAACAAGAGAUUACCACACAGCACAAAAAAAAAAGAGAUAGAAUGACAGCAGUUCCAUGAUGAACCAACAGUGGAGAAAGUCUGGUGUCAUGUUAUCAUCUAGUAUAUUAUUUAUACUAAAUUCAUGAUCAUCUCGGUGAAUAUCACCGAUGAACGAAUGUUUGGUGAUAUAGAGGCCCGAAUCCACCCAACAGUCGUGGAGUUCGCAGUUCAAUAUUGAUCGCAAGAUGAGAUGUAGUUGCUGGAAUUUGCAAACUUACGUCAACGAACCAUGUUUUCCGCUUUGCUCGAAGGGCAUAUUCCAGCUAAGUUGCCCAUGCAGCAUAAUUUUCUACAUUCAAUUCUCUGAUACCAUGUAAACUCUAGAAUAUUAUAGUUAUACGACUUGUGUUACGAACUUGGGAGAUUUUCACUUAUAUAUAAACAUCAAUAUAUAUCAUCUAUUGGAGAGAUUCACAUACAUAUCAUAAAAUGUCUUGAUAACAUUAACAAAAACAGAGGGAUCGAUCAAACCCAAAACAUACAGACACGAGCACUAAGGUGAGAUCUGACAAAAGUAAAAGAAAAGCUUUGCGCUUGAUAUUGUCUUAAUACAAACAAGAAUGGAAGUUAUUUUCAGCACAUUCUUCGAUUUUUUCUGAAAAAACGAAAGCAGCUCAACAUAACCCAUUGAAACAUUUCAUGAAAUACCUGGCAGGCAAUACUUGGUAGCAAUGCCUUUGUGUUUAUAUUCUGGUUUGAGGGGACGACUGAGGAAGAAAUGUCUUGGUUAGAGUCGAAAUGGGUUUCACCUGAAGGAGAAGAAGAGUCGUUACAUAUUAAGAGAUCUUUGGAUCUUCUUUAAUUCUUUGGCAACUUCCACCAUCGUUGGAACUUCUUCACUAGGACCGAUGCAUCUCAGUGAGAGCAUUCGGAAAGCUUCCAUUUGACAAAGCUCUUGUUCUGAAAUGUGACCCAUCUUUUCUAUCAUCUUUCGAUCUGCAAUCUCUUCCAUUGGUCGGUCUUCCUUUAAUUUUGACGGCAAAUAUCCAUCAUUAUACUUCAAAAAGCUUUGGUUUCCUAAUAGAAGCGUUAGACCCAUAAACUUUCCAAAGGCAGAGACAUCUGUUUUCUCUGAGAC
RNAcentral lists this long non-coding RNA (13218 nucleotides) under Arabidopsis lyrata. Its description in RNAcentral is "long non-coding RNA (ALYR_LNC002739)". The record is from RNAcentral. Lineage: Eukaryota; Viridiplantae; Streptophyta; Magnoliopsida; Brassicales; Brassicaceae.